This 1395-nucleotide long non-coding RNA is filed under the name Parus major (Great Tit). RNAcentral describes it as "lncRNA (ENSPMJG00000016809.1)". Lineage: Eukaryota; Metazoa; Chordata; Aves; Passeriformes; Paridae. The record is from RNAcentral.
AAAAGGGGGAGGCAACAACAGAGAAAUCAUUGUGUGAGGGUGCCCGGCGGGGCAGAGGGGCUGUCGGCGGACACCGCUGCCAUCCCCGCCCGGGCAGCAGCCUGGGGAGCCCUCUCCUCUCCCUCUUCCUCUCUUCUCACUCUUCCUCUUCCUCUCCUCUCCCGCUGCCAGCAGCCUUCAUUAGCGCUGCUGCUCGGGGCUCCCGCUGUUCUCCGGGCUGGCCAGGGCUUCCCGGGCAGCCCCAGCCUGAGGUGGCUGCUCUGCUUCCAGGAGCCCGGCUGCCAGAGCAGGGUUUAACCCCUGCCUGCUGGAGCGCAGUUUUCAAGCCGUGCAGCUCAGUUUCUUUUUCUUUUCUCCUUUUCCUUUGUUUAUUUCACUUAAAUGUUAUUUUUGAAAGGCUGCACGCUUUCUGUGGAGGUGCUUGUGUAGUUUGGGAGAUGGGAAGGGAGGAAGCUGUGUCUGAUUCUCUUGGGUUGCAGCUCCCUUUGGCUCCUUAUUAAUUCCCAAAGGCCUGCCAAAGAAAGCUGUCCCACUGGGGAGUGUGAUGAUGAGAUACUCAGGAGGCUCAGGUUUCCCUCUUGGCCCUGAUAGGAUUUGUUCUUGUGUAAGUGGGUAAACCAACUGUGAUAUUUUUAUCUGUGAAAUUUUGGGCACUAACCUACUCCCAAGGGGAAGGGGAACUCCUUGGGUUAAGGAAGAAAGCACUGGCUGGUGCAGGGUCUCCUGGAGGCUCUUGUCCCUCUGGAGAUACCUCAGGAGAAGCUCUGGCCAUCCUCAGUGGGGAAUCCCCCAGGCACAGAAACCUUCAUUCCCUCCUGUUCCAGAAGUAUCCAAGUGCUACCUGCCAGAGUGCUACUCCUCUGACCUGACACCAGGACGGGUGGGGAAACUGGAGAUUCUCGCUGAGCCUAUGCACGACCUGUCUUGUUGCCCGUCCAUUCCUCCUCUGUCAACUAGAACUGAAGAGGCGUUGGUAUCGAAGGAACUGCCAUCCACGGGCUUGGUCACCUACCAGCAAUUCGCCCAGGAUUUGUACCUGGAAGGGCUGCACAAUGCUGAUAAAUACAAAACCAAGAACCGGAGCUCAUCUGUUUUAAUGAGAGACUACUCUGACCUCGAUUGGAAAAGUACCUACAAGCAAGAUUUUGAGCACUGGAAAGGAGUCCGUGGUGCGCUUUACACAGAGGAGAUAAGGCCUUCUCCCGUUUUCCCUGAAGAUAACCGCUUCAAUGAGAGCCGCUGGGUUUCUGAGUAUGCAGACAGCUACAGCAUCUUCCUGAAGAGGCUGGACUGGUCAUCUCCCAUCUCUGCACAAUGGCUGCCCUUUGGGAAGGAUGCACGAUGGACACCGCGAUGGAGAGAGUCCACUCACUGAGUGGUGCUAGGGUGGCUGUG